RNAcentral lists this ribosomal RNA (253 nucleotides) under uncultured bacterium. RNAcentral's name for it is "partial 16S ribosomal RNA". It matches the Rfam family "Bacterial small subunit ribosomal RNA", at positions 524 to 776 of the family's 1533-position model. The record is from RNAcentral.
UACGUAGGGGGCUAGCGUUGUCCGGAAUCAUUGGGCGUAAAGCGCGUGUAGGCGGUCCGGUAAGUCCGCUGUGAAAGUCGAGGGCUCAACCCUCGAAUGCCGGUGGAUACUGUCGGGCUUGAGUACGGGAGAGGCGAGUGGAAUUCCUGGUGUAGCGGUGAAAUGCGCAGAUAUCAGGAGGAACACCGAUGGCGAAGGCAGCUCGCUGGGACGGUACUGACGCUGAGGCGCGAAAGCGUGGGGAGCAAACAGG